GGAGGUGUGGCUCAGUGCUAGAGUGCGUGCCUAGCAUGCACAAGGUCCUGGGUUCAAUCCUCAGUACCUCCA
Molecule: transfer RNA, 72 nt
Filed under: Camelus bactrianus (Bactrian camel)
Lineage: Eukaryota; Metazoa; Chordata; Mammalia; Artiodactyla; Camelidae
Also listed under: 2 other names
Rfam family: tRNA
About the family: Transfer RNA (tRNA) molecules are approximately 80 nucleotides in length. Their secondary structure includes four short double-helical elements and three loops (D, anti-codon, and T loops).
Source: Rfam by way of RNAcentral